UGCGCAGGCGGUUAUAUAAGACAGAUGUGAAAUCCCCGGGCUCAACCUGGGAACUGCAUUUGUGACUGUAUAGCUAGAGUACGGCAGAGGGGGAGUGGAAUUCCGCGUGUAGCAGUGAAAUGCGUAGAUAUGCGGAGGAACACCGAUGGCGAAGGCAAUCCCCUGGGCCUGUACUGACGCUCAUGCACGAAAGCGUGGGGAGCAAACA
RNAcentral lists this ribosomal RNA (208 nucleotides) under uncultured bacterium. RNAcentral describes it as "partial 16S ribosomal RNA". It matches the Rfam family "Bacterial small subunit ribosomal RNA", at positions 568 to 774 of the family's 1533-position model. The record is from RNAcentral.